This 202-nucleotide long non-coding RNA is filed under the name Lathyrus oleraceus (garden pea). RNAcentral describes it as "Pisum sativum (pea) long non-coding RNA (PSAT_LNC041744)". Lineage: Eukaryota; Viridiplantae; Streptophyta; Magnoliopsida; Fabales; Fabaceae. The record is from RNAcentral.
UUCACAUUCACUUGCAUGCCCUCCUUUAUAUUAAUGGAGAAGACAAAUAAAGCUUUCUAAUGGGACAAAACCAAUGUCUAAUGGAAUGAGAUCCCCUUAUUUGAUAAUUUUAGGGUACAAUUACACUCUUUUGUCUCUCGAAUUAAUUGUACCAAAUUUAAAUUGGUGUAAUAAAAAUGAAAAAGGAUAAAUGUGCAUUCAU